ACGCUCGACACCUACGGGAGGCAGCAGUCGGGAAUAUUGCGCAAUGGAGGAAACUCUGACGCAGUGACGCCGCGUGCAGGAAGAAGGUUUUCGGAUUGUAAACUGCUUUAGACAGGGAAGAAGAAGUGACAGUACCUGUAGAAUAAGCUCCGGCUAACUACGUGCCAGUAGCCGCGGUAAUCUGAGCGGGCUGGCAAGGC
RNAcentral lists this ribosomal RNA (200 nucleotides) under uncultured bacterium. RNAcentral's name for it is "partial 16S ribosomal RNA". It matches the Rfam family "Bacterial small subunit ribosomal RNA", at positions 328 to 539 of the family's 1533-position model. The record is from RNAcentral.